RNAcentral lists this long non-coding RNA (387 nucleotides) under Mytilus galloprovincialis (Mediterranean mussel). The record is from RNAcentral. Lineage: Eukaryota; Metazoa; Mollusca; Bivalvia; Mytilida; Mytilidae.
GGCAAUUAACAGUUAAUACCUUCAGGGCACACAUGAUAUGAUGUCAGUAAAUAAACUAGCACAUAACAUGACAUUAAAAAAAUCUAACAGUAAUAUCUGAUUAUUCUCCAUGUGUGUAAAGAUACUAAAGAAAAACAUUUCACCAACAUAAAGUUGCAUAAAAAUGAUAAACAGGAUAACUCACCAUAAACUAAACCAAAAACAAAAUGUAAUGGAAUGAUAUUGCAGAAUUGCAAUAACUAAUAAAAAGAAUAAAGGACUGGAAAGAAAAAGAAAGAGAUAAAAACAAAAAUUAAGCAUCAAAAUGGCAGACAUUUUUGAUUGAAUUAAUGUAAAAAAAAAUAUAGUUUUUUGCAGUAUAAUUGUUCUUUCAAUUUUAUAUAUCCU